UUUCCUUUAACAAAACAGAAGACAAAUUAUCUGGAUUUGUUGACAAUGGCACAAGCACUGAAAAAGAUUUUUGCGACCAUGUGCUAGUUUUUAUGGUGCGAGGUAUAUUUAAAAAAUAUAAACAGCACUUGGCCUACUAUUUUUGCAGUGGAAGCACGAAAACGUUAGUAUUAAAAGAGCAAAUUGAAAAAUUAAUAAUUAAACUCCAAGAGACUGGCUUAAAAGUCGUGGCCACAGUGUGUGACCAAGGCACUUCAAAUGUGGCAGCCAUCAAUGCCCUAAUUAAACAAACUAAAGAAAGUUAUUUGAGAAAAAAUGAAAUUAAUUUAGAGGGGACAUUUGAAAUUGGAAAUGCUCAAAUUUUUCCCAUAUAUGACCCACCACACUUAAUCAAGGGUAUUAGGAACAAUUUAAUAACAAAAAACCUAAAAUACUCUUUGCAUGGGAAAGAACGCACUGCGAAAUGGAGCCAUAUUGUGGCAUUAUAUAAUAAGUCACCUGCAUAUCAAGGCGUAAAAUUAGUACCAAAAUUAACGGCUCAACAUGUUAUGCCCGACUUGAUACCUAAAAUGCGGGUGAAGAAUUGCACUCAGGUCUUCAGUAAAUCUGUUGGAGCAGCACUUGGAUUUAUGGCAGAACUUGGAGCUAUUGAAAAAGAAGCGACGGAUACUGCUGACCUUUUGAUGCUUUUCGACGACAUUUUUGACAGCGUGAAUGGGAGUUACAGCAAUAUAAAAGGCGGCAAAAUUUAUAGAGCAGCUGUAACUCCCACAUCACCACACCACAAGUUGUGGAACGAAAGUUUAAAAGUUUUAAAAAGUAUGAAAUUCGAAAAUGCUCAAAAUAAAGGUGUAGUGCCUUCUCUAUCCAGCUGGAUAAAAACGAUAGAGAACUUUAAAAACUUAGCAAAAUUUCUGCAAACAAAAGGAAUAACGUCUCUAUUGCUGCGAAACAUAAACCAAGAUCCAUUAGAGAAUUUCUUUGGCUCAGUACGUGCACAUGGUUGCAGUAAUAUUAUGCCAACGGCCUCUGCAUUUGAGAGUGCCUUCAAAACUUUGUUAAUCAAUAAUAUUUCGUCUCCACACUCAGUUGGCGCAAAUUGUGAAAAAGAUGACAGUUUUUGUCUCACCACGUUAAAAAAAUAUUUGUCAAUUGAAAAAAAAGACAAUGGCCCAACUGACUGUGAAAACGAAAUUGACAGUGCCCACAUAUGUAUGACACUCUUAAAUACAGAGGAUUUAUUAAAAAGCACACUGCCAAUACACAUGGUAAAGAGCGCAGCAAUAGGAUAUUGCAGUGGUUGGAUAGCACAACAAGCAAAGAAAAAUAUUUUUAAAAAUUGUAAAAUUUGCCUCAAAGCCUUAGAAACAGAGGUUCCAGAAAGUUUUCAUAAAUUUAUAAAAAUUAAAGAAUUUGAAAACAAACAAUGGCUGUGCUAUCCAACUCGUGCACUUUUUGAUUUUUUCGCUCAAGUGGAACAGGUUUGCCAUGAAAUUUUAAACACAGAUUGUAAUCGAAAAAAUAUACUCACAUAUUUAAGACUAAUCGUAAAUGUAAAUAUAAAUCUUGUAUUUAUAACUUGUUCACAACACGAAGAAAACCUAAAAAAAUUUUUGAUUAAUAAAAGUACAAUGUUUUUCAUAAAUAAUUGGUGCAAGGAGAUAAAUAAUGUCCUCACAGGAAAAACACAUUUGAUGGAUACAAAUAAUUUAAUUAUUAAAAAAGCUCUCCGUCACUACACCAAAAACAAAGGCCGAAAACGUAAUACAAAAACGAAUGUAAUAGUUAGUGUUUAGAAUAUUUUGUAAACAUUAAUCCCCCUUACCACGGUAAUACUAUCUAUACCUUACUAAUAAAAAGUUACACAGUUGUUGAACACUGUUUUAAAAUUACACUAGUUUAGGAGCCAGGGCUUCAAUAUAAAAUGUUACAGUGUAUUACAUCAAUAAAAAUAUUCAUAAUUAAUCUUAUUCUUAUUCUUAAAAUGUCAUUUCCAUACAAAACGUCACACUGUUCAACGAGCGUGUAUGUUUAUUAAGUAAUUUUUGUGUCAUCAGCAUAUAGUAAUAUGUUGGAGUUACUAAAACAUUAUACAUACGUCAUUUGUUGUAUCAUUAUGUUUGUAUUAUCUUUGAAUUAUAAAUAAAAUUAUAAUAUAGAA
Molecule: long non-coding RNA, 2161 nt
Organism: Ostrinia nubilalis (European corn borer)
Lineage: Eukaryota; Metazoa; Arthropoda; Insecta; Lepidoptera; Crambidae
Exons: 2
Source: RefSeq, a predicted model, not a curated record